This 151-nucleotide ribosomal RNA is filed under the name uncultured Ascomycota. RNAcentral describes it as "5.8S ribosomal RNA". It matches the Rfam family "5.8S ribosomal RNA". Rfam says of the family: 5.8S ribosomal RNA (5.8S rRNA) is a component of the large subunit of the eukaryotic ribosome. It is transcribed by RNA polymerase I as part of the 45S precursor that also contains 18S and 28S rRNA. Functionally, it is thought that 5.8S rRNA may be involved in ribosome translocation. Lineage: Eukaryota; Fungi; Ascomycota. The record is from RNAcentral.
CUUUCAACAACGGAUCUCUUGGUUCUGGCAUCGAUGAAGAACGCAGCGAAAUGCGAUACGUAGUGUGAAUUGCAGAAUUCAGUGAAUCAUCGAAUCUUUGAACGCACAUUGCGCCCUUUGGUAUUCCAAAGGGCAUGCCUGUUCGAGCGUC